AUUUUUAAAUUAUGUCAUUGUGCUUCUUUCUAUACUAAUUGGAUAUAUGCAUUCAUAUGUUGGACAAAGAGAAAAGAAUAAGCUCAGAUAUUUUAUUUCUAUCAAUGUGAAGUUCAUAUUUUGCCUUUCUCAGAGGAAAUAGUGAAUUCCUCAUUUUUCCUUAAAGUUAGAUUUGAUUGAAACUUUUCUUAGAGGAUGACUUUGCUAUUUCUAUUUAAAAAAACAGCACUUCUUUUUAGAGUAACAUCCCUAAUUGUGCGUAGCAGCUAAGGCCAGUAUCCGCCUGUGGAUAAAUGUAUGUUUUCUUUCCCUGAUGAUUCAGCAGCUUAGAAUAUGAUGGAGUCCUGCUGCCCUUCUAUUCUUCACUGUCAGAGGGAAAAAAAAAAAGUUUAGCAUCCUUCUGAAGUUGUCCCCCAGAUAGGAUUUUUUUUUUUUU
RNAcentral lists this long non-coding RNA (436 nucleotides) under Bos taurus (domestic cattle). Its description in RNAcentral is "long non-coding RNA NONBTAT023602". The record is from RNAcentral. Lineage: Eukaryota; Metazoa; Chordata; Mammalia; Artiodactyla; Bovidae.